Molecule: RNA transcript, 3193 nt
Organism: Pezoporus flaviventris
Lineage: Eukaryota; Metazoa; Chordata; Aves; Psittaciformes; Psittacidae
Gene: PRELID3A
Gene name: PRELI domain containing 3A
Exons: 8
Source: RefSeq, a predicted model, not a curated record
CGGAGCUCCGCCCCCCGGCUGGUGCUCGCUGGCCGGUAGGCAGGCGCGGGGCUGUCAGGAGCUGCUGAGCGUGGAUUGCUGCUUCUGCCGCCCCGCUUCCCUCCGGCCGUGAGGAGAGACUGCGGCGGCCAUGAAGAUCUGGAGCUCGGAGCAUGUGUUCGGGCACCCCUGGGAUACAGUGAUCAAAGCUGCUAUGAGAAAAUACCCCAACCCAAUGAAUCCGUGUGUGGUAGGAGUGGAUGUCCUUGACAGAACCCUUGAUAACCAGGGGAGGUUGCAUAGCCAUCGUCUCCUCAGCACAGAGUGGGGAUUGCCGAGUAUUGUAAAAGCGAUUUUAGGAACAAGUAGAACUCUGACUUACAUUGAGGAACAUUCUGUGGUAGAUCCAGUGGAAAAAAAGAUGGAGCUUUGCUCAACUAAUAUUACUCUCACAAACUUAGUGUCUGUUGAUGAGAGACUGGUUUACAGGCCGCAUCCUGAGAACCCUGAAAAAACUGUGCUAACUCAAGAAGCAAUUAUUACUGUUAAAGGCAUUAGCUUGAGCAGUUAUCUGGAAAGCUUAAUGGCAAACACAAUAUCUUCCAAUGCCAGAAAGGGUCGGGAUGCCCUGGAAUGGGUGAUCAGCAAACUAAACACAGAAUUGGAGGAGCUGAAGUCAACACGUGAGGGGAUGAAACCAGCCAUGGCAGCAGCAUCAACAGAAAAAUGAAACCAAAAAUUCCAGGGAAGUGACAGAAGAGUCUUAUUCUCCAGACUGCUUUGUAGAUCUCCCUGCCAAGGCUGAUCUGCACAAGUUUUAUAUAUUUAUAAGAAUUUUGGAUCAGCGGAAAAGUAACCUCAUCUGUCAUCUCCACAGCAGCUCCUGUUGCCUACUGUUGACCUCCUGCAGAUGCUCUUUUUAUUUAAACCAUUUAUUUUUAACACUGGAAACAAAACAUUUAGCACAUUUGAAACUGCCUAAAUGUGCCUUUUCUAACAAAAUUCAGAAAAACUUAGAGCUUAAAGACUGACAGCAGCUCCUUUCCAGAAGACACACUGGAUAGCUUUGGUGCAGGUCAGUUGCUGACUGCUUCCCAGAGGAGUGAUGCCACUUCCUGGAUAAGGAAUGCAGAAGGUGUUCUAGCUCCUGGUGGCAUUCAGCUGGGAAGGGGAGUGCAGCUAUGGCUGAGCUCUACAAACGAAAGGAAAAGAUGAGGAGUGUAACCACCACCACCCUCCACAGCUGGAUGCCUAUUUUAAAUGCCUAGACCAAAGUUGGGCCUUGGCCUCUACCUGUCCUGUAAGAGGGGCCAUGAGCAUGCAGCCUCUCUGUUGGCACCUGCUUCCUCCCAGCCUUGGAAGCCAGUCCCCUGCAGAAAUUGCACCAGUUCAUGCCUAUGUCCUUCAAUUCAACAGCCCCCUAAAAUCCAAUCUGACAAGCCCAUUCUGCAUUGUUUGGCAUGCAGCCUCUCCUUGCAUUACUGGGUCUUUUCCACCUAUGAACAAGCCUGGCACCUAAAAAGACUGUCUAUCUGCUUUAAAAUGUGUUUUUGAUUCUAUCAGCCUGAAAAAAGGUAUGUUCCAAAUGGCUUUCUCUAGACUUGUUCUGCUUUGCAGACUGCAGCAGCUUGUGUUGUCUUUUCAGGCCGCAGAGCCCUGGCUGCCUGCAUCAGCUCAGCUCAGCCUGGCACUGCCAAUGAAGAACAACCUCACCAAGAACAAACUGAAGUCACUGAAUUGCAGUCGAGUGCAAAUACACAAAGCCAUCACCACAUACAAUUUGCUGUGUCUAUUUUGUAACUAUUUAGCUCCAUCUCCUGGUGAUGCCCUGUGACAUGGGUUAAGUGCAGACUACUGUAGUAAAAUUCAUCUAUCUCUUCAGCAGCGGCUCUCAAAACGCUUUAAACGGUUGUACCCACAUUGUCACCCAUUUUCGAAGAUGGGGACCUGGGGCACAGAAAAUCUCACUGCUUGUGCCAGCUCUGGGCUGCUGGAGCUCGUGGUGCCACUUGAUGCCCACUCUUUGCACACAGGAGCUGGCACCAGCUCUCCCAGCAGGAGUGCACUGGGGUGCUGGGCUCCGUGGAGCUGCCAUGAGGACAGUGCUCAUGAACUUACACGUGUGUGUCACGAAAUGGGUUGUAUUUUGUUCAAGGCCAGGCUGGACAGAGGCUUGGGCAACAUGGUCUAAGGUGAGGCAUUCCUGCCCAUGGCAGGGGGGUUGGAACUGGAUCAUCUUAAGGUCCUUUCCAACCCUAACUAUUCUAUGACCCUAUGAUAUCAGCCUGAGCUAACACCCCUCUCUCAUGCUCUCCUACCAGGAACUUCUGGUGAAGAGCAGGUACCCCACAAAAUCUGAAACACAGGAGUAAAAAUCAGACAGAAACAACCAAACAGAUCUUUAUAGCUGGAGUCGAUAAACAUUCUCAGAUUGGCCUUAAGAUACAUACAUACAAAAGAAGAAAUAAACCAGAGCAGCUCCAGGUUGUCAACAUGGAAACACUGUAAGAUUCUACAGUAACAUUAACAUAAUCCAUACGCCGUAGCACCGGAGCGUGUGGUCGCAGCACCGUUCCCCCAUGCCUGUGUGCUGUCAUUGUAUCACCGGCGAGACUGAGCUCAUAAGAAAGACAUUCCCAAAAGAUGUACAGAGCUGCUGGGUGAGGUAAAGUGUGAAGGUAGCCAGCAGGAGUCUAAAAGUGGAGCUUCUACAUUAGUUUUAACCUAUAGAGCAUGCAGCCAGUAGCUAACUGUGGAAGUUGAUGCUGAACUUGCCUUGGGGAAACAGGAGAGCUUGAAAGAGAACAACGUAAUAGUUGUGCUAAAAAUGUUCUCUCCACUUCUGGUUUAAGAACUCAGAACAAUCAAAAACUUCUCCAAAAGACUGCGGCAUUUGUCUCCCAGAGAUGAGGGAUGGAGAACUCCUGAAGCCUGUGCUGCAUGCAGGAUGAGCCUCAGCUACACACCGUCAGUGCUGGAAGCAGCAAUACACUGGUAACGGAGGGAGGAGGCUGGGAGCGAUGCGUGGGCGCUAAUGGCAUCACUGGAGUUACACAAGCGGUUUUAUUGCUAUUCUAAGAGUGCUUUGACGUUUCCCUCCCUCCGUGCAGCCCAGCCAGUGCUCUGCUGUUAUUCGAUCAUUCUCAUUAACAAUUCUUUGCCAAAAGCCCUAUCCAACUGAUCUUACAGAACUAUAAAAGCAUGAAAAAGGAAA